AUUGAUGAUACCGUUGACUUUUUCUCACAUGUUUGACCAUUCGUCUUAUUCCAAAAAUUUACGUAAUUGUAAUUUAUUUUGAUAUGAGUUGUUUUAUCACUCAUAGUACUUUAAGUGUGAUUUAUAUCUUAUAUAUUUGCAAAAAAAAAAUUGAAUAAGACGAAUGGUCAAAUAUGUAAGAAAAAAUUAACGGCGUCAUCUAUU
This 204-nucleotide microRNA precursor is filed under the name Oryza rufipogon (brownbeard rice). Its description in RNAcentral is "MIR812 microRNA precursor family". It matches the Rfam family "MIR812 microRNA precursor family". The record is from Rfam by way of RNAcentral. Lineage: Eukaryota; Viridiplantae; Streptophyta; Magnoliopsida; Poales; Poaceae.